CUGUGUUCUUAUACACUGGCUGUAUAGGAAGAGAAGGCAGAGCGAACCUUCCCCAUAUACACCGCAGCCCAGGCCCUCUACACUGUGCCUGGCCUGUAUUGUGAAUGGGGGGACAUGGGAAAAAAAGUCUCAUUUAGUCUUGUCCUUAAGAGUCACGAAGUUUCCUUCUGUUUUUACCCUGUGAUGUGGAUUUUGGAACACAGUUACAGAGAAUGAAGAAAUGCAGAUGCUAUUGUGGAUUGGAUAUAUGGACACCUGAAUUGGGUCUGCAGCCCUUGGUUUUGGCCUGGCCUCGUCUUGGAUACCGCUGAUGGAUAGG
This is a long non-coding RNA of Ochotona princeps (American pika), 319 nucleotides long. RefSeq lists it as uncharacterized. The record is from RefSeq and is a predicted model, not a curated record. The transcript has 3 exons. NCBI's taxonomy places the organism in Eukaryota, Metazoa, Chordata, Mammalia, Lagomorpha, Ochotonidae.